UACGAAGGACCCGAGCGUUAUCCGGAUUUAUUGGGUUUAAAGGGUGCGUAGGCGGAUUUACAAGUCAGUGGUGAAAUCUCCCAGCUUAACUGGGAAACUGCCAUUGAAACUGUUUAUCUUGAGUACAUUUGAGGCGGGCGGAAUGUGUCAUGUAGAGGUGAAAUUCUUAGAUAUGACACAGAACACCAAUUGCGAAGGCAGCUCGCUAAACUGUAACUGACGCUGAGGCACGAAAGUGUGGGGAUCAAACAGG
This 253-nucleotide ribosomal RNA is filed under the name uncultured bacterium. Its description in RNAcentral is "partial 16S ribosomal RNA". It matches the Rfam family "Bacterial small subunit ribosomal RNA", at positions 524 to 776 of the family's 1533-position model. The record is from RNAcentral.